AAGCGUUAAUCGGAAUUACUGGGCGUAAAGAGUGCGUAGGCGGUUCCUGAAGUCCGCUGUGAAAGCCCCGGGCUUAACCUGGGAAUGGCAGUGGAAACUGGAGGACUUGAAUUGAGCAGAGGGGGGUAGAAUUCCACGUGUAGCAGUGAAAUGCGUAGAGAUGUGGAGGAACACCGAUGGCGAAGGCAGCCCCCUGGGUCAAGAUUGACGCUCAUGCACGAAAGCGUGGGGAGCAAACAGG
RNAcentral lists this ribosomal RNA (241 nucleotides) under uncultured bacterium. RNAcentral describes it as "partial 16S ribosomal RNA". It matches the Rfam family "Bacterial small subunit ribosomal RNA", at positions 536 to 776 of the family's 1533-position model. The record is from RNAcentral.